GUACCGGCAGCGAGGGUGGGCUCCCAGCAGCGCCAGUAACACAGCUGUCUAUUGCAGGAGAAGGAGGAGGAGGCGCGUCUGGCCAGCAUGCCAGCCUGGAGGAGGGACAUCCUGCGUAAGAAGUUGGAGGAAGAGAGGGAGCAGAAACGGAAAGAGCAGG
Long non-coding RNA from Lepidothrix coronata (blue-crowned manakin), 160 nucleotides. RefSeq lists it as uncharacterized. The transcript has 3 exons. NCBI's taxonomy places the organism in Eukaryota, Metazoa, Chordata, Aves, Passeriformes, Pipridae. The record is from RefSeq and is a predicted model, not a curated record.